Molecule: long non-coding RNA, 955 nt
Organism: Zalophus californianus (California sea lion)
Lineage: Eukaryota; Metazoa; Chordata; Mammalia; Carnivora; Otariidae
Exons: 4
Source: RefSeq, a predicted model, not a curated record
UCCCGCCUCCCGCUGGGGAGGCGCCGGGCGCAGCGGGCUCCGGGGCCCCGCCGAGGGCGAGCUUCUCGGGAUUCGCGCCGCACGGUUGGCCUGGGGGUUGGAAGAGAGGGCAGCAAACAAGAUCUUUCCCGGGAUGGGAAGCGCCCCUUUCCGCCAAACCGGGCCGGGUAAACAGGCCACGCAAACGUUCCAGGGAACUGGAAGCCCAGGGACAUUGCUGGCAGCCGCCUGCGCCGGCCAAAUGGGAGCCCUGUCACCAGUAAAGGACAUGCUGAAGACGCCAAAUGGAGAUGAGAGGGCCUGGAGGAUGAGAAGUCAUGUGGAGGAGAACUGAGGCACAUCAGCCAAGUGCCAGCCAUGUUGGCAGAGGUUUAAGGAAAUUCUUUGGGGAGGCCCCUGCAAAUUCAGCCUUCUAAAAUAUGAAUGGUGUUGAUGGAAAAAGCUGAAGUGCUUUUUUGAACAUGAAUCGGGACUAUCGCCACGUGGCCAACAGUGUUGCUCUUUUCCCACCAAGCCCAGCACUAGAAGGACCUUUAAGAAGAGCUGAGCGGAGUUUCAGGCUCCCUAUUCUCCUGCCCACCCUCUGAUGGAGAUGUUAAUGAAUCAGCCAAACUGCCGGAAAAGAAACCAGAAGAGAAAGUGAAAAAUCAGGAGCCUGGGCCACUGCCAAGCUAGAAAAGCAGACGCCGAGGAGCUGGAAGGCCCUGGAGUCCCAGCAUAAAGGAGCAACCCACAGAGCUUCGCCUUGGGAGCACUGGGCUGCAGUUCCUGAAGGAGUAGGGCUGUCCUAUUUGGCAGUGCUGCCACACUCAGAUCACACUCUGCCCAGUGUGACCCGGGUGAACAAGGCCAAGCUAUAAUCAGGAGCCUGGUUUCCUGGCUCAUAGUAGGAAGGACCAGGCAGUGGACUGAUCCAAGUGCUCUCCCCUCACUUGAAUACAAUUUGCUAACAGGA